This 98-nucleotide non-coding RNA is filed under the name marine eukaryotic metagenome. RNAcentral describes it as "Pyrrolysine insertion sequence mttB". It matches the Rfam family "Pyrrolysine insertion sequence mttB". The record is from RNAcentral.
GGCAGAUGCCAAAAUGCCAGAUGCGCAGUCAGGAUAUGAAAAAGGCUCUACCCUUGUCAUGGCCGGGCUGUCGGGCCUGAAUAUGGUGUAUGAGGCGG